UACGUAGGGUGCGAGCGUUAAUCGGAAUUACUGGGCGUAAAGCGUGCGCAGGCGGUUUUGUAAGCCAGAUGUGAAAUCCCCGGGCUUAACCUGGGAAUGGCGAUGGUGACUGCAAGGCUAGAGUUUGGCAGAGGGGGGUAGAAUUCCACGUGUAGCAGUGAAAUGCGUAGAGAUGCGGAGGAACACCGAUGGCGAAGGCAGCCCCCUGGGCUGACACUGACGCUCAGGCACGAAAGCGUGGGGAGCAAACAGG
Molecule: ribosomal RNA, 253 nt
Filed under: uncultured bacterium
Lineage: Bacteria
Description: partial 16S ribosomal RNA
Rfam family: Bacterial small subunit ribosomal RNA
Source: RNAcentral